This 290-nucleotide long non-coding RNA is filed under the name Homo sapiens (human). RNAcentral's name for it is "HSALNT0083941". The record is from RNAcentral. Lineage: Eukaryota; Metazoa; Chordata; Mammalia; Primates; Hominidae.
GAAACUACAGCCACCUUCUAGAAAGUGAAGGAGGUGAGCCCAGUUCUCUUGUCUUGCGUAUUAAUAGCCAGGUAUUUGUUCAAAGUUGUGCAGAUGUUGGUCCUGUCUCCUCUGAGCUUCCAUCCUCCAUAAUGAAGAAUUUUCAUAUAUUCUUACUUAGUUUUCUGAAAAAGCGCUUUCUUUUUGCUUUUUUCAGAUGCUUUCUGCUGUACAGUCUCCUGGUUAUCUGUCUUUCUUGAUCAGAACCGGAGCAGGUGUUCCAGGCCUGCGUGCACCACGAUUUUCUGCAA